AGAAUCAACGCUGGCGGCGUGCCUAACACAUGCAAGUCGAACGAGAAAGUGGAGCAAUCCAUGAGUAAAGUGGCGCACGGGUGAGUAACACGUGACUAACCUACCCUUGAGUGGGGGAUAACCUAGGGAAACCUGGGCUAAUACCGCAUAAUACCUUCGGGUCAAAGGAGCAAUUCGCUUAAGGAGGGGGUCGCGGCCGAUUAGUUAGUUGGCGGGGUAAUGGCCCACCAAGACUGUGAUCGGUAUCCGGCCUGAGAGGGCGCACGGACACACUGGAACUGAAACACGGUCCAGACUCCUACGGGAGGCAGCAGUGGGGAAUUUUGCGCAAUGGGGGAAACCCUGACGCAGCAACGCCGCGUGGAGGAUGAAGUCCCUUGGGACGUAAACUCCUUUCGAUCGGGACGAUUAGUGACGGUACCGGAAGAAGAAGCCCCGGCUAACUUCGCGCCAGCAGCCGC
Molecule: ribosomal RNA, 461 nt
Filed under: uncultured bacterium
Lineage: Bacteria
Description: SSU rRNA
Rfam family: Bacterial small subunit ribosomal RNA
Source: RNAcentral